RNAcentral lists this ribosomal RNA (1554 nucleotides) under Staphylococcus aureus. Its description in RNAcentral is "16S ribosomal RNA". It matches the Rfam family "Bacterial small subunit ribosomal RNA". The record is from RNAcentral. Lineage: Bacteria; Bacillati; Bacillota; Bacilli; Caryophanales; Staphylococcaceae.
UUUAUGGAGAGUUUGAUCCUGGCUCAGGAUGAACGCUGGCGGCGUGCCUAAUACAUGCAAGUCGAGCGAACGGACGAGAAGCUUGCUUCUCUGAUGUUAGCGGCGGACGGGUGAGUAACACGUGGAUAACCUACCUAUAAGACUGGGAUAACUUCGGGAAACCGGAGCUAAUACCGGAUAAUAUUUUGAACCGCAUGGUUCAAAAGUGAAAGACGGUCUUGCUGUCACUUAUAGAUGGAUCCGCGCUGCAUUAGCUAGUUGGUAAGGUAACGACUUACCAAGGCAACGAUGCAUAGCCGACCUGAGAGGGUGAUCGGCCACACUGGAACUGAGACACGGUCCAGACUCCUACGGGAGGCAGCAGUAGGGAAUCUUCCGCAAUGGGCGAAAGCCUGACGGAGCAACGCCGCGUGAGUGAUGAAGGUCUUCGGAUCGUAAAACUCUGUUAUUAGGGAAGAACAUAUGUGUAAGUAACUGUGCACAUCUUGACGGUACCUAAUCAGAAAGCCACGGCUAACUACGUGCCAGCAGCCGCGGUAAUACGUAGGUGGCAAGCGUUAUCCGGAAUUAUUGGGCGUAAAGCGCGCGUAGGCGGUUUUUUAAGUCUGAUGUGAAAGCCCACGGCUCAACCGUGGAGGGUCAUUGGAAACUGGAAAACUUGAGUGCAGAAGAGGAAAGUGGAAUUCCAUGUGUAGCGGUGAAAUGCGCAGAGAUAUGGAGGAACACCAGUGGCGAAGGCGACUUUCUGGUCUGUAACUGACGCUGAUGUGCGAAAGCGUGGGGAUCAAACAGGAUUAGAUACCCUGGUAGUCCACGCCGUAAACGAUGAGUGCUAAGUGUUAGGGGGUUUCCGCCCCUUAGUGCUGCAGCUAACGCAUUAAGCACUCCGCCUGGGGAGUACGACCGCAAGGUUGAAACUCAAAGGAAUUGACGGGGACCCGCACAAGCGGUGGAGCAUGUGGUUUAAUUCGAAGCAACGCGAAGAACCUUACCAAAUCUUGACAUCCUUUGACAACUCUAGAGAUAGAGCCUUCCUCUUCGGGGGACAAAGUGACAGGUGGUGCAUGGUUGUCGUCAGCUCGUGUCGUGAGAUGUUGGGUUAAGUCCCGCAACGAGCGCAACCCUUAAGCUUAGUUGCCAUCAUUAAGUUGGGCACUCUAAGUUGACUGCCGGUGACAAACCGGAGGAAGGUGGGGAUGACGUCAAAUCAUCAUGCCCCUUAUGAUUUGGGCUACACACGUGCUACAAUGGACAAUACAAAGGGCAGCGAAACCGCGAGGUCAAGCAAAUCCCAUAAAGUUGUUCUCAGUUCGGAUUGUAGUCUGCAACUCGACUACAUGAAGCUGGAAUCGCUAGUAAUCGUAGAUCAGCAUGCUACGGUGAAUACGUUCCCGGGUCUUGUACACACCGCCCGUCACACCACGAGAGUUUGUAACACCCGAAGCCGGUGGAGUAACCUUUUAGGAGCUAGCCGUCGAAGGUGGGACAAAUGAUUGGGGUGAAGUCGUAACAAGGUAGCCGUAUCGGAAGGUGCGGCUGGAUCACCUCCUUUCU